GGGGAGCUGAAGGUCUGACGUGGAGACAUCUCCACUUCCAAUGACGUAGGGGAACGGCGUGCGUCUUCGCCCAGGGAAUAUGCGAGGAAACCCACUACCCUGCAUGCAUUUUAGACGUUACUUAAUUCGCAGGUUCCCGCUAACUUGCGGACGAAGCAUCAUAUGGCGGGCCAUCCUGCAAGCGGACAUCAAAUCCUGGGAA
This 202-nucleotide long non-coding RNA is filed under the name Elaeis guineensis (African oil palm). RNAcentral's name for it is "long non-coding RNA (EGUI_LNC006843)". Lineage: Eukaryota; Viridiplantae; Streptophyta; Magnoliopsida; Arecales; Arecaceae. The record is from RNAcentral.